Molecule: ribosomal RNA, 336 nt
Filed under: Pseudomonas nitroreducens
Lineage: Bacteria; Pseudomonadati; Pseudomonadota; Gammaproteobacteria; Pseudomonadales; Pseudomonadaceae
Description: bacterial SSU rRNA
Rfam family: Bacterial small subunit ribosomal RNA
Source: RNAcentral
GCAGGCCUAACACAUGCAAGUCGAGCGGAUGAGUGGAGCUUGCUCCAUGAUUCAGCGGCGGACGGGUGAGUAAUGCCUAGGAAUCUGCCUGGUAGUGGGGGACAACGUUUCGAAAGGAACGCUAAUACCGCAUACGUCCUACGGGAGAAAGCAGGGGACCUUCGGGCCUUGCGCUAUCAGAUGACCCUAGGUCGGAUUAGCUAGUUGGUGGGGUAAAGGCCUACCAAGGCGACAAUCCGUAACUGGUCUGAGAGGAUGAUCAUCCCCACUGGAACUGAUACACGGUCCAGACUCCUACGGGAGGCAGCAGUGGGGAAUAUUGGACUAUGGCCUAAC